UACUUGGUUGAUCCUGCCAAGGAAGCACACUUAGGUCAUAGAUUAAGCCAUGCAAGUGUUAGUUCAGGUAACGAAACUGCGAAUAGCUCAUUAAUACGCUCAGAAUCUAUUUGGCGGCGACCAACAGGUCUUAAAUGGAUAGCAGCAGCAACUCUGGUGCUAAUACAUGCGAUUGUUUCUCCAGAUGUGAAUUAUGGAGGAAAAGUUGACCUCAUCAGAGGCACGCCAUUCGACUGAGUGACCUAUCAGCUUGUACUUAGGGUCUUUACCUAGGUAGGCUAUCACGGGUAACGGGCGGUUACCGUCGGACUGCCGGAGAAGGCGCCUGAGAGAUAGCGACUAUAUCCACGGGUAGCAGCAGGCGCGAAACUUUCCACUCGAGACUUUCGGAGGAGGUAAUGACCAGUUCCAUUGGUGCCUUUUGGUACUGUGGAUAGGGGGUACGGGUUUUCCACCGUACCGAAACCUAGCAGAGGGGCAGUCUGGGUGCAGCAGCUGC
Molecule: non-coding RNA, 499 nt
Filed under: Trichomonas vaginalis G3
Lineage: Eukaryota; Parabasalia; Trichomonadida; Trichomonadidae
Description: Eukaryotic small subunit ribosomal RNA
Rfam family: Eukaryotic small subunit ribosomal RNA
Source: Rfam by way of RNAcentral